GAUGAACGCUGGCGGCGUGCUUAACACAUGCAAGUCGAACGAGAAGUGAAGACGGAAACCUUCGGGCGGAAGGCUUUAUUUCGAGUGGCGGCCGGGUGAGUCACGCGUGGGUAACCUGCCUCCUACAGGGGGAUAACAGUUGGAAACGACUGUUAAUACCGCAUAAGACCACAGCACCGCAUGGUGCGGGGGUAAAAACUCCGGUGGUAUGAGAUGGACUCGCGUUCGAUUAGCCAGUUGGCGGGGUAACGGCCCACCAAUGCGACGAUCGAUAGCCGAUCUGAGAGGAUGACCGGCCACAUUGGGACUGAGACACGGCCCAAACUCGUACGGGAAGCAGCAGUGGGGAACAUUGCACAAUGGGGGAAACCCUGAUGCAGCGACGCCGCGUGAGUGAAGAAGUAUUUCGGUAUGUAAAGCUCUAUCAGCAGGGAAGAAAAUGACGGUACCUGAGUAAGAAGCCCCGGCUAACUACGUG
Molecule: ribosomal RNA, 478 nt
Filed under: uncultured bacterium
Lineage: Bacteria
Description: partial 16S ribosomal RNA
Rfam family: Bacterial small subunit ribosomal RNA
Source: RNAcentral